RNAcentral lists this transfer RNA (80 nucleotides) under Sphaerotilus natans. RNAcentral describes it as "tRNA-Thr". Lineage: Bacteria; Pseudomonadati; Pseudomonadota; Betaproteobacteria; Burkholderiales; Sphaerotilaceae. The record is from RNAcentral.
GCCGGCUUGGGCGGGUGGCGGGCCUGGCUGGCCUCGUGUGCAAGCGAUCCGGUUUGAACGUUCAAACCGGCCAGCGGCCC